GUGCUCACCUCAGCAGCACACGCACUAAAAUUGGAAGGAUACAGAGAUUAGCAUGGCACCAUCCAAGGAUGGCAUGAACUCUGUGAGCCAGUCCACAUUUUU
Molecule: small nuclear RNA, 102 nt
Organism: Grammomys surdaster
Lineage: Eukaryota; Metazoa; Chordata; Mammalia; Rodentia; Muridae
Source: RefSeq, a predicted model, not a curated record